GAUGAACGCUAGCGGCAGGCCUAACACAUGCAAGCCGAGGGGUAGCAGGAUUAAGCUUGCUUAAUUGCUGACGACCGGCGCACGGGUGCGUAACGCGUAUGCAACCUACCUUACACUGGGGUAUAGCCCGGAGAAAUUCGGAUUAAUCCCCCAUAGUACUAAUGAAUCGCAUGGUUUAUUAGUUAAAGCAUUGCGGUAUAAGAUGGGCAUGCGUCCUAUUAGCUAGAUGGUGAGGUAACGGCUCACCAUGGCUACGAUAGGUAGGGGGCCUGAGAGGGUGGUCCCCCACACUGGUACUGAGACACGGACCAGACUCCUACGGGAGGCAGCAGUGAGGAAUAUUGGUCAAUGGGCGCAAGCCUGAACCAGCCAUGCCGCGUGCAGGAAGAAUGCCCUAUGGGUUGUAAACUGCUUUUAUUUGGGAAUAAACCUCUUUACGUGUAGAGAGCUGAAGGUACCAAAUGAAUAAGCACCGGCUAACUCCGUGCCAGCCGCCGCAGUAA
This 503-nucleotide ribosomal RNA is filed under the name uncultured bacterium. Its description in RNAcentral is "partial 16S ribosomal RNA". It matches the Rfam family "Bacterial small subunit ribosomal RNA", at positions 28 to 523 of the family's 1533-position model. The record is from RNAcentral.